CCUACGGGAGGCAGCAGGGGGGAAUAUUGGACAAUGGGGGCAACCCUGAUCCAGCAAUGCCGCGUGUGUGAUGAAGGCCUUAGGGUUGUAAAGCACUUUCACUGGUGAAGAUGAUGACGGUAACCAGAGAAGAAGCCCCGGCUAACUUCGUGCCAGCAGCCGCGGUAAU
RNAcentral lists this ribosomal RNA (169 nucleotides) under uncultured marine bacterium. RNAcentral describes it as "partial 16S ribosomal RNA". It matches the Rfam family "Bacterial small subunit ribosomal RNA", at positions 338 to 524 of the family's 1533-position model. The record is from RNAcentral.